UAUAUAAAUUGAACCAAUGAAAUAAUAUAAAAUAAUGAAAUAAUUUUUUUAUGACAUAUUUUUGUGAAAGUCUUCAAAACAUGAACCGGGACACAGUGGAACAUUGCAAGCUUUGCAUUGAUCCUGGGUUUGUUUCCUCACUUGUUUUUUUGUGCACAUUUUGCAGUUUUUAAAGUAAUGUUUUCUUUUAUACAGUGGAGGUAAUGGGAUUUUUUCUUGAUAGUGUAGUCCUUCUUCUGACAUUGGUCGUUUGUUUUUUGGAUCUUUUGAUUUUGGCGCAUUAAAAAUUUUUUUAGCUGUUACAUCUAUUGGAAGGUUUAUCAUAUUUUUUAUUAAAACAUCGCGAAAAUCUUUAAAAGUCAUAGAAUUGCAGCCAAAAUGUUUUUUGUAUAGGUAAAAACUAUUUCACACUGUAAUAUCUAACAGAUGAAAUAAAACUUUUUCAUGCCAUCGUGAUUGUUUUUGUGGGCUGCUGUAAUAUUUUACCAUUUGGUCUGACCUAUCUAUACCACUCAUAUUAUUAUUAUACUGAAUAAUUUCAUUUAGUUUAUUUUUUUCAUUUCCGAAUCGAUUUUUGGAUAAUAAAAGCUGUGGAGGGUACUUUGUAGUUAUCGCUAAUAAAUCCCUUUUAUCUUUCCACUUAGAUACAUAAAUGUUUUCUUGUCGACGCCAAAUAUAUUCCACAGAUUUUAACUUUUUUGUGGUUACACAUUUUGGGUUGCCUUUACAGUUACUGCGUAGUGUUCCUGUUGUAUGUGUUUUUCCAUUUAGGAGUUAUCUUGAAAGACUUAUACUAUUAUAAUAAUUAUCCAUAAAUACUGUAUGCCCUUUAUCAAGAAAAGGUUCCAAAAUACGAAAAACUAAACUAUUUAUUUUUGAUGUGCAACCAACUUGAAUUUCUUCUCUUUUUCCUUUAUACAUCUCCAUGUUUAAAACAAAUCCAUCGGGUGCACAGAGCUCGAAAAACUUUAUACCAUACCGUGCUUUUUUAACCCUUAACUUGGCAAGCAUAAAAAUAUUUGAAUGAAAAUUGUAAAGUAGAUAUUUUCAAACUAAUUUAAGGUCGCUGAAUUCAAAAAUGUUAUCGAAAAAAAAUUUUGGACUUGAAAGUUCAAAGUUAUGAGUUGUAUCUUAAAAGAUACAUUGCCAGAAAUCACGUACAAAAAAACAAGUAUAAAAUUAUGUAAUUUUAACAUAAAAGUAACUCUUAUUAUUUAAGGAUUUUAAAAAUUAAACUUUUAACAUAACAAUGCAGACUUAUCUCAUUACAGAACAGUAUUAACUAUCACAUUAGUUUUUUAUUAAUACUAACCAGGGUUGGGCAGUAUCAAAGAUACAAUUGUAUCUUGUAUCAUGAUACAUAAUUUUAAUGUAUAAUGUAUCAUGAUUCAUGAUACAUUAUAUACUAGUAUCAUGUAUCUAUUUUUGCCAAAAGAUACAAGAUACUAUUAUUGUAAAAAUGUGUACUAGAUAUGAGUGUAACCGUGUAGGUAUUUCCACAUAAAAUAGAAAAUAAAAUCUAAAGUAAAGAUAAGCAAUUGCAGCAUACUAUUCACGUUGUUGUACGUUGUACCAUACUAUUCGUUCUGUCUGUGUUACUGUGUCACUGUGUCAACUGCCCGUUUACGAUUUUUUUCAUAAUAAUAUUUUCAUAAUAUUUAUUUUUAAUUUUUUUUAAUGGAUUUUUUUACUGAAAAAAAUAUUAAUAUUCCGCCAUCAUUGAAUGGAACAUUUUUUUAAAUUGUGUCUCACGAACAAAAUGGGUCUGCAGAUUACGCUGUAAAAGCAUUAUGUACGACAUGCCAAGAUGUCAAAAAGGAAAAUAAAAUACUUUCUGGAUCUCUUAAAUUCACCACAAAUUUUCGACUUCAUAUAAAAUUAAUAGAGUUCAUUUUGAAAAAUUGACAUUAUACGACGAGCACAUUAAACAAAAUGCAACUAGCAACCAUAGGCGUAAGAGACCAUUAGACCAGUCAUCGAGUGUAGAUUUAUGUCCACUUAAACAACCAAAAAUAUGUUUUUUUAAUAAACAAGAUAAACAACGGGAACUAGAUAAAAAUAUAAUGCGUUAUAUUGUUUUGGGUAUGAGGCCUUUGUAUACCGUUGAAGAUGACAAUUUUGUAAAAAUAAUAAAAGGUAAAUUAUUCACUUAAUACUCAAAUAUUAGGAAUAUCAAAAUAUCAAAAAUUUCCGUUAAUUGUAUUAGUUUAAAAUAAUUAGGCAUAGACAAUGACUUGCAAGUGUAUUCGAGAAGAACACUAAGUCGUCGUAUUAACGAUGAUUUUAUAAAUGUUAUUGACAAGAUUAAAAAUGUGUUUACAACUGAACCACGAACACUUAUAACUACAACAGCGGAUAUUUGGUCAACAAAACAUCGAAGUUUUAUGGGCGUCACAGCACACUGGAUUUCUACAAACACAUUAGAACGCGGCAACUGUGUACUUUCCUGCAAACGAAUGAAUGGUAAACAUUCAUACGAUCGUAUAGCAGAAUUAUUGCAGGACACUUUUAAUGAGUAUUCACUUCUUCGUGAACAAAUUGUUUCAACCGUAACUGAUAAUGGAUCUAAUUUUAUAAAAGCAUUCAAAGAGUUUGGAUAUGACAUUCAAGACCAUAAUAUGACGGAUGAUAUGGAUCUUGUCAUCUUGACGAUGAAGAAGGGGAAGAAACUUUACAUUUUCAAGUUAUUGCAGUGGAUGAAGAUGUUGAAAAUAAUGAGCAGGCAAUAUUUCUUCCUCGUCAUUUACGAUGUGCUAGCCAC
Myzus persicae (green peach aphid) is the source of this 2761-nucleotide RNA transcript. RefSeq lists it as uncharacterized. The record is from RefSeq and is a predicted model, not a curated record. The transcript is spliced from 4 exons. Lineage: Eukaryota; Metazoa; Arthropoda; Insecta; Hemiptera; Aphididae.